UUUAGCUGCUGGAGGUCAGGCAAAAACAUUGCCUGGUUGGAGUGCCGCUGAGAACAUCUGGAGGAUACCGAGGUCCCACACCUGACUUAAUCUGAAGCAUCCAGCAAGCACAGGUGGAGCUCUAGGUCUGUGAUAAUGGAGACCAUGGGAAAAUCUCAAGAUCAGAGGACCUGCUUCCAGGAGGCAUAUCGGCCGAUACCAAUCCAAUUUCUGAUACAGCUGUGUCCAGCUGGGGAGAAGCCACAUUAGUAUUUGGAGUGUGGGAAGAGCUUCAUCCAGUUCUCCAACAUGGGCUUAUUCACACGCAAGAGAAGCCACGUUGGAGCUCAGACUGUAGGAACAGUUUCAUCUGCUUCUCUAAAUUGGCCCAGCACCAGCUGAUUCACAUGUGGGAGAAGUCACAUCAGUGCUCUGAGUGCAGGACAAGCUUCACCUGAUCCUCCAACCUGACCAAACACUGGGUCAUCCACACAGGGGAGAAGCCACAUCAGUACUCAUAGCAUGCAAAGAGCUUCACCCAAUUCUCCCUCCUGGUCCAGCACCAGCUCAUCCACAGAAAAGAGAAGCCACAUUGAUACUCAGAAGUAUUGGAAAAGCUUCACUCAGUUCUCUGAUCUGGCCUGGCACCAGCUUAUCCAAAUGGGGAGAAGCCACAUCAGUGCUUGGAAUAUGGGAAGACUUUCAACCUGUCCUCCAACCUGACUCAACGCAGCUCAUCUACAUGGGGAAGAAGCCACAUUGGUGCUCGCACUAUGGGAAGAGAUUCCUGCACUCCUCAAAACUGGCCCACCACCAGUGCACCCACAUCCAGGAGCAUCCAUAAUUUUGCCAGCAAUGUGGAAAGGGUUUGGGGACAUCUACCUGCUCAGCACUCGCCAUUGUCUGCAUCCAGGCAAGCAGACUCAUACUUGUAGACUGCAACAAUAGUUCACCUAUUGUUCGACCCUUCUAGGGCACUGCAGAACCCAAAGGACACAGACUGGCUCCAAAAGUUUGAGGGGGAGGGAUUAAAAGGAAACCCCUCAGACAGAGGCCAGCCCAGAUGCUGGGGGAACCUGUGAGGAAAUGAUCUUUGCCUUGGAGCCUGUGCCAUCCCCACCAUUCUUUAAAACCAGUCGGUGCUCCCAGGGGGAAAAAUGCCUUCACAAUAGGGUGCCAUCCCAAAGACAACUGGCUCCAAAUGACACCGGGGACUGUCUUUGGCUGACUCCUAGCUUUGUUCUCUCUCCUGGCCCCGAGGUUCUGGUAUGUGAGGCUCUUGAGUUGCAGGAAGGAGGACACUUAUUGUUGGGGAAACAUUAGGGCUGUGCGAAGCUUCAGGUGGUAAUUAGAUUUGGAGGAGAUUCGGCCCGAUUUGGUGGUGAAUCUCCAAAUAAAGAAUUGAAUCGGGACCAAUUUAAAAGUCCGAAUCGAUUUCCUAGUUGGUAGGAUUAGAAGGGACCUGAGGAGAUCAUCUAGUCUGACCCCCUGCUGUGGCAGGAAAGAGUACUGGGGUCAAACAACCCUGGCCAGAUGUUUGUCCAGCCUCGUUUUAAAGACCCCCAGGGUAGGAGCCAGCACCACUUCUUUUGGAAGCUGGUUCCAGGUCCUAGCCGCCCUGACAGCGAAAUAGCACCUCCUAAUGUCUAGCCUGAAACUACCCUCUGCCAGCUUGUGUCCAUUGUUUCUUGUAACUCCCGGGAGCACUCGGGGGAACAGGGACUCUCCCAAUGCCUGUUGGUCCCCCUUGACUAGUUUGUAGACUGCCACUAGAUCCCCUCUCAGCCUUCUCUUUUGGAGGCUGAACAGGUUCAGGUCCCUCAGCCUCUCCUCAUAGGGCCUGCCUUGCUGACCCCUGAUCAUGCGGAUGGCCCUCCUUUGGACCCUCUCCAUAUUGGCCACAUCCCUCCUGAAGUGCAGCGUCCAGAACUGGACACAGUACUCCAGCUGCGGCCUGACCAGUGUCGCAUAGAGGGGGAGGAUCACCUCCUUGGACCUGCUUGAGAUGUAUCUGGAUGUACAACAAGGUAUGGUUGGCCUUCCUGACCGUGUCCCCGCUUUGUCGGCCCAUGUUCAUUGUGGCAUCAAUGAUGACUCCAAGAUACUUUUCUGUCUCAACACUGGCGAGAAGAGAGUUCCCCAGCCUGUAGGUAUGCUGCUGGUUCUUCCUCCCCAGGUGCAUUACCCUGCACUUGUCAGUGUUGAAACCCAUCCUGUUCUCAUCGGCCCACCCCUGUAACCUGUCUAGAUCCGCUUGCAGCCUCUUCCUUCCUACUAGUGUACCCACUUCACCCCACAUCUUUCCCAAAGAUUCAAAGCUCUCCGAAUCUUUGAUUCGGAGAGCUUUGAUUCAAGCAGUCCCUGGUGACUGCAGCAGGGAGCUGUAGCCGACUCUGAGCUGGUAAGUACUAGGGAUGGGGCAGGGGGGAGGGGACCAUGGGGGGACCUCUCCCAGCCCGCUCUGCUCCCCCAGACGUCCCAUGGCUGUUCCUCCCCCACACCCACCUUGGUACUUUAAAGAAAAGUCCUGGUGUUCACCAAGUGCUGCCAGAUGGGGAGGGAUCCCUGCUGCCCCCCACUGCCCCAUGCUGAAUGGGGAGCUCUGCCAUGAGUCCCCCAACCCCUGCUCCCCCAGUCCCACCACGGGUACCUGGCCUGGGCCAGGUCUGGCCCUUUUAAGGGGAAAAAAGCCAAGAAAAGCCCCAGGACUCGCCACUCCUGCAGCAACCUCAGGGCUUCAGGGGCUCAUGCAGAGCCCCCACACAUGGUGGGGGGCAACAGGGAUUGCCCCCUGCUGGCAGGAGCAGUAAGUUUUGAGGAGGGGU
Alligator mississippiensis (American alligator) is the source of this 2804-nucleotide long non-coding RNA. RefSeq lists it as uncharacterized. The transcript is spliced from 4 exons. The record is from RefSeq and is a predicted model, not a curated record. Lineage: Eukaryota; Metazoa; Chordata; Crocodylia; Alligatoridae.